UCAGCCCUCAAUUCCACUUUUGCCUCCAGUUCUCAGGGAUUAGACAACCCAAGCAGACAGGCUACAGGAAAUAGCAGAUUGGGAGAGGAGUGGGAACAGGAGAAGCUGUCUUUGGCUCGGCUGGAAGGUGAAGGGAUUCCAGAUGCCGGUUCCUGGCUUGCUCCCCGCUCUCCAUUUGGCUUCAUCCUGGGGCUCUCUUCCUCCCCACAGAGGGGUGGUGGGCACUCUGUGCCACACCUCUCCUCUCUGGGAUCUCAGGUCUGUCCCUGAAACCUGCUGGUAGAAGAACCUCUAGAGUCCUUGCCUCCUUCCCACCGUGUGACCAUUGCCCAUUGGCACAUCUGUCAAGACACAGAUUUUUGGAAGAAAAAAGAAAGAGUGAAUGCUGCAGAGAUGGAUUGUUAAUUUUCCAAAUGAGAUAUGACUCUGAGAUCCCACCUACCCAGCUGGUAGGACGUUCCACCAUGCUCCCUAAGGUGGUUUGAGUGUUUGGAAUGACAAAGACUCUCUCAUCACCCUGAAACCUUAGUCCGGCGGCGCCUCUGAGUCUUCUGCUUGACGAGGCCUGACCUUGGGCUUCCCCAUGUCCUUUCAGAAUCCAGUUUGAGCAAGAAUCCUGCUAAGUCAGGCAUCUGUAGGCUUUGUUAAUCUAGGAGUCUGACCACCCACGUCCUCAGCUGGUCCUGUCCCUCCACAGCCCUCUUCUCCCAGCCCUUCAAUCAUCUCUCCGGACUAUAAGCUUAUUAAGAGCACGGGAGUAGUCAGCACAUCAAGUGUUUGGCACCGGGGUGAGGUGACUGACUACAGCUCUGGGAAGCUCCGCAGAACAAACACCAGAAUGAACGGUGUCUUCAUUCUCCAGUGAGAGGACUUUGCAUCCUGACUUUGUGUACUCUUUCAGGAGCAGACCACCAGAGACAGUCACACAAGGGGAGGGGAGAUGGCAUUGUGGGAGUGGCCCACUCCGUGAGCACAUGAAAUUUUAGAUCUCCACUUCCGUUUGGUAGCAUGUAAAACAGCAGACUCUUGGAAAGUCAUCUUUGGAGGGAACCCAAGAGGUCAUCAUAUCCAGAACUUCAUUUUACAAACAUGUAAACUGAGGCCAGAAAGAGAAAAUGACAGGAGCAAAUAGGUGAUGCUAAUAGGUGAUGGUGUUGGAUUCAAACCCAGGUGUUUUAUCCUGAUGCAAUAAGAAAUACGGAUUUGGUCUCUGUCCCUGGUUCCUGGCAUACAGCUCCUAAAACCCUUGUAAUCUCUGACAAAAGAAUGUCUUUUGGAUGCUAAGAGGAAACUGGUGGCUGGGAGCCCCUAGAUGGCUUCAGAAUGGGGGCUGGUCACCAGAAAGACCAUGGUAUGAUUAGAACCUCUUGAGAGGAGAGAGGGGCUGAAGGUUGCGUUGAUACCUUAUGGCCGAUGAUGUAAUCAAUCAGGCCUAUGUCAUAAAGCUUCCAUAAAAACCAAAGAAAACUUGGUUCAGGAGGCUCCAGACAGCUGAACCUGUGGAGGCGCCUGGAGGGUGGAUCUUCCGGAAAGCACAUGGCAGCUCCGCGCCCCUUCCCACAUGACUUGCCCUGUGCAUCUCUUCCAUCUGGCUGCUCAUCUGUAUCCUUUAUCAUAUCCUUUAAAAGAAACCGGUAAAUGUAAAGUAAGUGUUCUGUGAGCUGCUCUAGCAAAUUAAUUGAAACCAAGGAGGGGGUCUUGGGAACCCCAACUUAUAGUUGGUUGGUCAAAAGCACAGGUCACAACCUUAGUCGUGUGAUUGGCACCUGAACUGGGGGCAAUCUUGUGGGACUGAGCCAUCAGCUGUGGGAUCUGACUCUCACUGCAAGUAGAUGGUGCCAGAAUGGAACUGAAUUAUAGGACACCCAGUUGGUGUCUGCUGGAGAAUUUCUUGGUGUGUAGGGAAAAGCCCCCAUGCAUCUGGUCACAGAAGUAUGCUAUAGUGAAAGACAGUUUGUUUUCCCUUCAGACUGCAUCUCUUUAUAGUUUGUUCUUUGCUAAGAAGAGCUAGAAUUUAGUCUCUUAGCUUCAGACACAAUGUGAAAUUCAUGGAACCAUUACUUAAACAAAAAGUAACCUCUAUGUAUAUAUGUGUAUAUGUGUGUGUGUGUGUGUGUGUGUAUGUGUAUACAUAUAUAUAUAUUUUCCCAGAAAUAUGCUGAACACUAUGGAAGUAUGCUGAACACUAU
RNAcentral lists this long non-coding RNA (2189 nucleotides) under Homo sapiens (human). Its description in RNAcentral is "HSALNT0020456". Lineage: Eukaryota; Metazoa; Chordata; Mammalia; Primates; Hominidae. The record is from RNAcentral.